Hemiscyllium ocellatum (epaulette shark) is the source of this 177-nucleotide long non-coding RNA. RefSeq lists it as uncharacterized. NCBI's taxonomy places the organism in Eukaryota, Metazoa, Chordata, Chondrichthyes, Orectolobiformes, Hemiscylliidae. The record is from RefSeq and is a predicted model, not a curated record. The transcript is spliced from 2 exons.
GCCUGAUAUUCCUCAAAGCGUGGCAGAAUUUUCCUAGCCCUUCAGUGGUGUGGCUAAUGAGGAGAAAUGUGCGAAACAUCCACAGUUCUUUCAGUUUUUUGUGCUGUUCCUGGUUGUCCCAUUUUGUGCUGCUAUGAAAGUUCACCUUUGGAAACACUUGAUCAACAAACUGCCCAG